GAUGAACGCUGGCGGCGUGCCUAAUACAUGCAAGUCGAGCGAACGGACGAGAAGCUUGCUUCUCUGCUGUUAGCGGCGGACGGGUGAGUAACACGUGGAUAACCUACCUAUAAUACUGGGAUAACUUCGGGAAACCGUAGCUAAUACCGGCUAAUAUUUUGAACCGCAUGGUUCAAAAGUGAAAGACGGUCUUGCUGUCACUUAUAGAUGGAUCCGCACUGCAUUAGCUAGUUGGUAAGGUAACGGCUUACCAAGGCAACGUUGCAUAGCCGACCUGAGAGGUGAUCCGGCCCACUGGAACUGAGAAACGGUCCAGACUCCUACGGGAGGCAGCAGUAGGGAAUCUUCCGCAAUGGGCGCAAGCCUGACGGAGCAACGCCGCGUGAGUGAUGAAGGUCUUCGGAUCGUAAAACCCUGUUAUUAGGGAAGAACAUAUGUGUAAGUAACUGUGCACAUCUUGACGGUACCUAAUCAGAAAGCCACGGCUAACUACGUG
RNAcentral lists this ribosomal RNA (496 nucleotides) under uncultured bacterium. Its description in RNAcentral is "partial 16S ribosomal RNA". It matches the Rfam family "Bacterial small subunit ribosomal RNA", at positions 28 to 507 of the family's 1533-position model. The record is from RNAcentral.